UGUCCUGUUUAGGCUGGUGAAGAUCUUCAUAAUAUGAUCGCUCUGGAUUUCUUGGAACAGGGAUCGCAUAGCUUCAAAAACAGAGGUUUUCCUUCACCGACUUCAAUGGCAGUAGACGGUGGUCAGAAUGUUGCUGUCGUUGACGAUAAAGCUUCAACAUUCCAACCUCCUUUCACUGCAACUAAGAAAAAUAAUAUUCACUGCAACAGGAGCUUCAACCUUCUAAUACCAUAUUUACGCAAAAAAAUAUUCUGCUAUCAUUCUACAAAAUUUGGGACAAAAAGGCUUGGGUCAUCAACAUUCUUCAAAAUUAAAUUUUGGCUUAUGUGAGUUUUACUUGUCCUGUUAUCUUUUGCUAUUGCUUUUUUUUUAUUCUUUUUACUGUUAUUAAUGAUAUGAGUAUAAUAGAAAUGUGUCAUAUAAAUAGGAUUUGUUCUGAAUAAUAUUUGGGCAUAACUAUGGUUUGACCAUUUCACAUCUUUUGAUUGUCUCUCAAUUUUAUUGAUUAACAACAUCAAUUUACCUAAAACCAGCAUUUUGGCUCUGCACUGCCAUAACUACAAGCUGAAAACAAAAACAACUACCCAAACCCAACAAUACCAUGAAAUCUCAAGACUUGCUACAAAUGAAGUGAAGCUCAUAUUUAUUUUAUUAGUAUAAGAAUUAAUUAUUAUAAAUGACCAAUGAACUCUUAAGAUGAGUCAAACAUCUUUAUAUCAAUAAACAUUUUUGAAACUAAAAUUUCAAAGCAGACUCACAAUCUCUUACCAAAUUUUUUAACAUUUUCAGAAAUUUUCUGAUAAAUGGGAGUUGAGGAGGAGAGAGAAAAGGUAUUGGGAAGCUAAUUUUGACAAUUUAAUAUCCCUACUAUAUUUCAACCAUUCAGACCAAUCAUCACUAUUAUUCAAACACUAAAAUUCACUAAACUGUACAAACAACAGAAUCUAAAUAUGUACCACAUGAGUGUCUAAUUGAAAUUAAUUAAGAAAAAAGCUACUUUAAAUGUUACCAUAAAACAUACUAUAAUACACUAAACUAAACUCUAAUCAAUACAACAAAUUAAACUACGAGCAUACCUACAUUCUGCUCCAACCAUAUACAUGAACACCUCUUGCAAGAGCACACUGAGGAAGUACAAAACCUACUGUGAAUGCUUUCAAUACCUUUGAUUGCAAGAUCAGUAUUAUUAAAAAAUUAUCAACACUAUAUUGAAAUAACAAUA
Long non-coding RNA from Cannabis sativa, 1222 nucleotides. RefSeq lists it as uncharacterized. NCBI's taxonomy places the organism in Eukaryota, Viridiplantae, Streptophyta, Magnoliopsida, Rosales, Cannabaceae. The transcript has 3 exons. The record is from RefSeq and is a predicted model, not a curated record.